GGCAGCCCACAGGCUGGCGCACACAGAGCCUGCUUGCUGGCCCUGAUGACAGGGCUUGAGCGGCCCAGGGGAGGGACAAUGGAGAGAGGAGCCGGCAGUCUGCUGACGCGGAAUGUGUGGAGUCUUGGGACAGCUGUUUGGGGGAGUUGUCCAGGAUUAAGGAGCUAAAUUUUGCAUGAAAAUCUGGCUCCCAGACCUGUCCUUGUGAAUUGUAAGGGCUCAGAGAUGACCACUGUGAGGGGAGCUCAAGGCUGGGGCACAGAGACACUGAGGAGACAGACCCCAAGCCAGGCGCAACCUGGGGCUCUGGGGCAGUCACGUGGGGAGUGCUGCCCUCUGUGUCAUGGCUUCCUGCUCUAAUCACCAAGCUUUCUGAUCUCAAGGCGUCCUGGGUGGGGACGGGAGACUCAAUAAAACCCUGAGCUUCCAUCUGCAGCCAGAGGGGUGGGGUUGGAGCCACUGUCACUCAGACAUUCAUGGGAAGGGCAUCUCCCCACUCACAAGGCUGCCAGUUCUGCGAUGUCUCAACCUCACGGACUCGGGGCCAUUCCCUCCCGAGUGUUUACUAUCCAGCUCACACAGUUAUGAUAUGCAAGGAAACAAAUGUCAUCAUAAAGUGAAAA
This is a non-coding RNA of Oryctolagus cuniculus (rabbit), 623 nucleotides long. The record is from RefSeq and is a predicted model, not a curated record. Lineage: Eukaryota; Metazoa; Chordata; Mammalia; Lagomorpha; Leporidae.